Molecule: long non-coding RNA, 608 nt
Filed under: Cebus imitator (Panamanian white-faced capuchin)
Lineage: Eukaryota; Metazoa; Chordata; Mammalia; Primates; Cebidae
Description: lncRNA (ENSCCAG00000038137.1)
Source: RNAcentral
GUCAUGUGACUCUCCGGUCGCGCCAUGGCGGAAGCAGAGGAGCAGGAAACUGGGUCCCUUGAAGAAUCUACAGAUGAGUCUGAGGAAGAAGAGAGCGAAGAGGAACCCAAGCUGAAGUAUGAAAGACUUUCCAAUGGGGUAACUGAAAUUCUUCAGAAGGAUGCGGCUAGCUGCAUGACAGUCCAUGACAAGUUUUUGGCACUGGGCACACAUUAUGGCAAGGUUUAUUUGCUUGAUGUCCAGGGGAACAUCACUCAGAAGUUUGAUGUAAGUCCUGUGAAGAUAAAUCAGAUUAGCUUGGAUGAAAGUGGAGAGCACAUGGGCGUGUGUUCCGAGGAUGGCAAGGUGCAGGUAUUUGGACUGUAUUCUGGAGAAGAAUUUCACGAGACUUUUGACUGUCCCAUUAAAGUACGUAUUCAGCAAGUUUUACCUUUUCUAAGGGUUUUCUCAAGGAAGGCAAUGAGGAUUACAGUAAUUUGAACAUUACCACUUCUGUAUUAAUUUUGUAUCUAUUCAACACUUCAUAUAUAUUGGAUACUAUUUAGAUGCUGUGAAAGAAGAUAGAAUGUAUAUUUUGUGACUGUGAUCUCAGUCUGUCUUCAGCGGGC